AUUGAACGCUGGCGGCAGGCCUAACACAUGCAAGUCGAGCGGCAGCGGAAAGUAGCUUGCUACUUUGCCGGCGAGCGGCGGACGGGUGAGUAAUGUCUGGGAAACUGCCUGAUGGAGGGGGAUAACUACUGGAAGCGGUAGCUAAUACCGCAUAACGUCGCAAGACCAAAGAGGGGGACCUUCGGGCCUCUUGCCAUCAGAUGUGCCCAGAUGGGAUUAGCUAGUAGGUGGGGUAACGGCUCACCUAGGCGACGAUCCCUAGCUGGUCUGAGAGGAUGACCAGACACACUGGAACUGAGACACGGUCCAGACGCCUACGGGAGGCAGCAGUGGGGAAUAUUGCACAAUGGGCGCAAGCCUGAUGCAGCCAUGCCGCGUGUAUGAAGAAGGCCUUCGGGUUGUAAAGUACUUUCAGCGGGGAGGAAGGUGUUGAGGUUAAUAACCUCAGCAAUUGACGUUACCCGCAGAAGAAGCACCGGCUAACUCCGUGCCAGCAGCCGCCGCAG
RNAcentral lists this ribosomal RNA (506 nucleotides) under uncultured bacterium. RNAcentral describes it as "partial 16S ribosomal RNA". It matches the Rfam family "Bacterial small subunit ribosomal RNA", at positions 30 to 523 of the family's 1533-position model. The record is from RNAcentral.